Molecule: ribosomal RNA, 482 nt
Filed under: uncultured bacterium
Lineage: Bacteria
Description: partial 16S ribosomal RNA
Rfam family: Bacterial small subunit ribosomal RNA
Source: RNAcentral
AUUGAACGCUGGCGGCAUGCUUUACACAUGCAAGUCGAACGGUAACAGCACUUCGGUGGCUGACGAGUGGCGAACGGGUGAGUAAUACAUCGGAACGUGCCUAGUAGUGGGGGAUAACUACUCGAAAGAGUAGCUAAUACCGCAUGAGAUCUAAGGAUGAAAGCAGGGGACCUUCGGGCCUUGCGCUACUAGAGCGGCUGAUGGCAGAUUAGGUAGUUGGUGGGAUAAAAGCUUACCAAGCCGACGAUCUGUAGCUGGUCUGAGAGGACGACCAGCCACACUGGGACUGAGACACGGCCCAGACUCCUACGGGAGGCAGCAGUGGGGAAUUUUGGACAAUGGGCGCAAGCCUGAUCCAGCAAUGCCGCGUGCAGGAUGAAGGCCUUCGGGUUGUAAACUGCUUUUGUACGGAACGAAAAGCCCUCUUCUAAUACAGGAGGGUCAUGACGGUACCGUAAGAAUAAGCACCAGCUAACUACGUG